Molecule: ribosomal RNA, 417 nt
Filed under: uncultured prokaryote
Description: bacterial SSU rRNA
Rfam family: Archaeal small subunit ribosomal RNA
Source: RNAcentral
GUGUCAGCCGCCGCGGUAAUACCAGCUCUCCGAGUGGUAGGGACGAUUAUUGGGCUUAAAGCGUCCGUAGCCGGCUUAGCAAGUCUCCUGUUAAAUUCAGCGACCUAAUCGUUGAGCCGCGGGAGAUACUACUAGGCUAGGAGGCGGGAGAGGUCGAUGGUACUUCCGGGGUAGGGGUGAAAUCCUAUAAUCCCGGGAGGACCACCAGUGGCGAAGGCUGUCGACUAGAACGCGCUCGACGGUGAGGGACGAAAGCUGGGGGAGCAAACCGGAUUAGAUACCCGGGUAGUCCCAGCCGUAAACGAUGUAGGCUCGGUGAUGGACUGGCUCCGAGCCAGUCCAGUGCCGCAGGGAAGCCGUUAAGCCUACCGCCUGGGGAGUACGGCCGCAAGGCUGAAACUUAAUGAAUUGACGGGG